RNAcentral lists this ribosomal RNA (763 nucleotides) under uncultured Streptococcus sp. Its description in RNAcentral is "bacterial SSU rRNA". It matches the Rfam family "Bacterial small subunit ribosomal RNA", at positions 28 to 776 of the family's 1533-position model. The record is from RNAcentral. Lineage: Bacteria; Bacillati; Bacillota; Bacilli; Lactobacillales; Streptococcaceae.
GACGAACGCUGGCGGCGUGCCUAAUACAUGCAAGUAGAACGCUGAAGGAGGAGCUUGCUCUUCUGGAUGAGUUGCGAACGGGUGAGUAACGCGUAGGUAACCUGCCUGGUAGCGGGGGAUAACUAUUGGAAACGAUAGCUAAUACCGCAUAACAUUGACUAUUGCAUGGUAGUCAAUUGAAAGGUGCAAAUGCACCACUACCAGAUGGACCUGCGUUGUAUUAGCUAGUUGGUGGGGUAACGGCUCACCAAGGCGACGAUACAUAGCCGACCUGAGAGGGUGAUCGGCCACACUGGGACUGAGACACGGCCCAGACUCCUACGGGAGGCAGCAGUAGGGAAUCUUCGGCAAUGGACGGAAGUCUGACCGAGCAACGCCGCGUGAGUGAAGAAGGUUUUCGGAUCGUAAAGCUCUGUUGUAAGAGAAGAACGAGUGUGAGAGUGGAAAGUUCACACUGUGACGGUAUCUUACCAGAAAGGGACGGCUAACUACGUGCCAGCAGCCGCGGUAAUACGUAGGUCCCGAGCGUUGUCCGGAUUUAUUGGGCGUAAAGCGAGCGCAGGCGGUUAGAUAAGUCUGAAGUUAAAGGCUGUGGCUUAACCAUAGCACGCUUUGGAAACUGUUUAACUUGAGUGCAGAAGGGGAGAGUGGAAUUCCAUGUGUAGCGGUGAAAUGCGUAGAUAUAUGGAGGAACACCGGUGGCGAAAGCGGCUCUCUGGUCUGUAACUGACGCUGAGGCUCGAAAGCGUGGGGAGCAAACAGG